Molecule: ribosomal RNA, 253 nt
Filed under: uncultured bacterium
Lineage: Bacteria
Description: partial 16S ribosomal RNA
Rfam family: Bacterial small subunit ribosomal RNA
Source: RNAcentral
UACAGAGGUCUCAAGCGUUGUUCUGAUUCAUUGGGCGUAAAGGGUGUGUAGGUGGCGCCGUAAGUCGGGUGUGAAAUUUCGGAGCUUAACUCCGAAACUGCAUUCGAUACUGCGGUGCUUGAGGACUGGAGAGGAGACUGGAAUUUACGGUGUAGCAGUGAAAUGCGUAGAUAUCGUAAGGAAGACCAGUGGCGAAGGCGGGUCUCUGGACAGUUCCUGACACUGAGACACGAAGGCCAGGGGAGCAAACGGG